Molecule: ribosomal RNA, 1024 nt
Filed under: Penicillium neoechinulatum
Lineage: Eukaryota; Fungi; Ascomycota; Eurotiomycetes; Eurotiales; Aspergillaceae
Description: SSU rRNA
Rfam family: Eukaryotic small subunit ribosomal RNA
Source: RNAcentral
CUUGUACUGUGAAACUGCGAAUGGCUCAUUAAAUCAGUUAUCGUUUAUUUGAUAGUACCUUACUACAUGGAUACCUGUGGUAAUUCUAGAGCUAAUACAUGCUAAAAACCCCGACUUCAGGAAGGGGUGUAUUUAUUAGAUAAAAAACCAACGCCCUUCGGGGCUCCUUGGUGAAUCAUAAUAACUUAACGAAUCGCAUGGCCUUGCGCCGGCGAUGGUUCAUUCAAAUUUCUGCCCUAUCAACUUUCGAUGGUAGGAUAGUGGCCUACCAUGGUGGCAACGGGUAACGGGGAAUUAGGGUUCGAUUCCGGAGAGGGAGCCUGAGAAACGGCUACCACAUCCAAGGAAGGCAGCAGGCGCGCAAAUUACCCAAUCCCGAUACGGGGAGGUAGUGACAAUAAAUACUGAUACGGGGCUCUUUUGGGUCUCGUAAUUGGAAUGAGAACAAUUUAAAUCCCUUAACGAGGAACAAUUGGAGGGCAAGUCUGGUGCCAGCAGCCGCGGUAAUUCCAGCUCCAAUAGCGUAUAUUAAAGUUGUUGCAGUUAAAAAGCUCGUAGUUGAACCUUGGGCCUGGCUGGCCGGUCCGCCUCACCGCGAGUACUGGUCCGGCUGGGCCUUUCCUUCUGGGGAACCUCAUGGCCUUCACUGGCUGUGGGGGGAACCAGGACUUUUACUGUGAAAAAAUUAGAGUGUUCAAAGCAGGCCUUUGCUCGAAUACAUUAGCAUGGAAUAAUAGAAUAGGACGUGUGGUUCUAUUUUGUUGGUUUCUAGGACCGCCGUAAUGAUUAAUAGGGAUAGUCGGGGGCGUCAGUAUUCAGCUGUCAGAGGUGAAAUUCUUGGAUUUGCUGAAGACUAACUACUGCGAAAGCAUUCGCCAAGGAUGUUUUCAUUAAUCAGGGAACGAAAGUUAGGGGAUCGAAGACGAUCAGAUACCGUCGUAGUCUUAACCAUAAACUAUGCCGACUAGGGAUCGGACGGGAUUCUAUAAUGACCCGUUCGGCACCUUACGAGAAAUCAAAGUUU